This 305-nucleotide ribosomal RNA is filed under the name Ripersiella emarai. Its description in RNAcentral is "eukaryotic LSU rRNA". The record is from RNAcentral. Lineage: Eukaryota; Metazoa; Arthropoda; Insecta; Hemiptera; Pseudococcidae.
AAACCGUUCGGGGGUAAACGGACAGAGCCCGUGAAUCCGGGCGGCGGAAUUCAGAAUCGAUGGCUUCGCGGCCGUCGGUUUAAUAUUUCCGUCGCCGCCCAUUUCUCGGACGUCGCGACCCGUUUGGUGUCGGCCUCAGGAGCCGCGUUUCAAGUUCGCGGCCGCGUCGCUCUCGGGUGGCGCGGUCUCGAGGGCGCGGUUUUCUUUCCGGCUGACUCGCCAGACGGUACGCCACUGGUGACCUUUGCCGCCUCGCGCGGCAAACUCGGUACCGGUCUGCGACGAAUUUUCGGGCCUCUUUCCGA